This 72-nucleotide transfer RNA is filed under the name Saccoglossus kowalevskii. RNAcentral's name for it is "tRNA-Cys". It matches the Rfam family "tRNA". From Rfam's summary of the family: Transfer RNA (tRNA) molecules are approximately 80 nucleotides in length. Their secondary structure includes four short double-helical elements and three loops (D, anti-codon, and T loops). The record is from RNAcentral. Lineage: Eukaryota; Metazoa; Hemichordata; Enteropneusta; Harrimaniidae.
GGGGAUUUAGCUCUGUGGUAGAGCAUUCGACUGCAGAUCGAGAGGUCCCUGGUUCGAACACGGGUGUCCCCU